Molecule: long non-coding RNA, 686 nt
Filed under: Vulpes vulpes (red fox)
Lineage: Eukaryota; Metazoa; Chordata; Mammalia; Carnivora; Canidae
Description: lncRNA (ENSVVUG00000012210.1)
Source: RNAcentral
GAAGGAUGCCCUUCCUGCUGAGUGCUGACACAAUGAGUCCAUUGGAAAGCAAGUCUGAAAAUGCUCAUAUGCACUGCUGAAUUGCAGCAUGGGUCAAACUCCCAAUAUUAACAUGUUCUAUGACCCGGGCCACAUUCUGGACAUCCAGACAUAAAGCAGAAAAAAACGGGUACAGAAGCAAAGGACGGCUGCUUCAAUGUCCUCAGUAGCAGUUGGAAGUCAGAAGCCUCACCUGAUAUGUUAACAGAAAUGGAAUAAAAUAGUUAUUCACUCUGUAACUAAAAGGAUAAAAAGUGAACUUUAAAGAGUCUUGGAACAGCAGCUGCAGGAAGCAAGUACCAUUUCUAGGCCUGGGGGAUAUAAGAAGUGUUUGGAAGUACCACAACUUAGAAGCAUGGAGAAGGGGUCCCAUGGAGCUGAAAUUCAGAGCAUUGAAGAGGAGCCCUGGCCAGUUCUGUUUAAUGAGGAAGGGGGUGAAAACCCAAAUUUGUUAUCAUCGUUUUCGCUUUCCCAUCAAGAAAGCUCAGAGAAGAGAGGGGUUAACACUGUGUGUCUGGUUUGCAACGGAGUCAAAUGCCUCAUUUGGACAUCUCUCUGCCUCGCAUGGAGGGAACUGCCCACGCCCACGUCACCCCAGACUCUGUGAUGGCAAAAGUGUGAUUCCGAGAGUCACUUAUUACCGCUAA